RNAcentral lists this long non-coding RNA (817 nucleotides) under Equus caballus (horse). RNAcentral's name for it is "lncRNA (ENSECAG00000044803.1)". The record is from RNAcentral. Lineage: Eukaryota; Metazoa; Chordata; Mammalia; Perissodactyla; Equidae.
CCCCGGUGUCCUCUCCCUGCCUAUUGGCACCCUUGUGGCCAGGCCUGCUCCCAGAGCAGAAUCUGGAUCUAGAGGAGGGGGCAACCCCGUCCCUACUCUCCAAGGGCAGGACACACACACACACACACACACACACACACACACACACGAGCACUCGACACAGGCGAAGAAAACGCAUAAACAAAUGCAGAGUCAUCACCAGCUGCAGGAGCUUUACGCGGCCAUGCCAGGGGCGGACAGAACGAGCAGAGAACCGGAGGCGCUGAGUCCAAACAGCUGUGUGCUGUGCUCAGGAGCUAACGCCAAGGCGCUCCAGUUUCCUGCUUGUCAUUUGGACAGCGCUGAAAAGAGAUAAACAGCCCUCUGUUUGAAGAGCCUCCGAGGAGCCCGCGGCUCCCUGGCCCUUCCGGGCUCCGGGACGGGCGGCGCUGGGGGAAGAGCCAGCCCUCCCCCAGCCCUGGCUGCCCCAGGCCUGGUGACUGGAGAGGGUGGCUCCCGCCCCGCCUGGGGAGUGGGGGAGACGGGAGGAGGGCUCUUCUUCUGCCUGCAGCAUGGCUGAUUCUGCAGUUUACGGCCGGGCACCUAAUUUAUAAGCUGUUUUUACUGCUGUUGUCAAACAGCCACAAACCAAAGAAAUAAAGUAGCCAGAGGAACAAUGUCUCCCCUCUGCCUGGCCCUCCCAGCCUGUCUGCUGUCAGGGCCUCUGUCUGAAGGGCCGGGGAGCUAAGGGCCUCUGUGCCAGACCCUCCAAAGUGCCUCCCGCAGGCCCGUGCCAGUGGGAGACCCCAGGGGCUGGCUGUGUUGGAGCACCUCAGCG